Molecule: long non-coding RNA, 6794 nt
Organism: Halichondria panicea
Lineage: Eukaryota; Metazoa; Porifera; Demospongiae; Suberitida; Halichondriidae
Exons: 12
Source: RefSeq, a predicted model, not a curated record
GCUAGCUAGAGACAAAACCUGGCGGAUCAUGACGGAUACACGGCUCCAUUGCCGAGACGAAAGGGGGCGUGGUCAAAAGGCACAUGGUGACACGCCCACUUCUGUUCGGUCUUCGCGCCCCUUAAAACAAACAGCAUUCCAUUGAAUAACAGCCAAAAAGACACUGUAACAAGAAUGAUUUGAGGAUAAAAUGUAACUGGGUAGCUGAUGGGCAUGACAGCCUUUCAUGGCCUUCAAUUUCCUUUUGGCCGAUGACCAGUAGGAUUCAAUGUUCUGGGUAUGAACUCCCGUAGCUGGAUCAACAAAGUUGAGUGAGUGGUUCACACUUGAGUGGCUACCAACAUUGGGGAGAGAGCCAACCUGGCUAUAGGCACUCCACUGGUCCGAAUAAAUUGUUGUCCCUGCUGCAACAUGGGCAUUGAUUAUUGGGAGGAGUGUGGCUGCCCGUCGGUCUUGAACUAUUUCCAUAUAUCCUAACGAUGGAGUCGUGGAGGUGUCCACCAUCCCAAAUACCCACAUCUCCGUGGUGGUUGCCCUUCCCCGGUGGUGUAGCCUCGAUCCCAGGCCGAGUUUUCGCUUUUAUAACGGUUAGGCGAACAACUGGGCCUGGUACUAGUUGUCUGCGCAUGCGUCAGUCGUUCGUCAGAUUCUGACGAAUGGAUAUUCUCGUUCACUUUGGUGACAUUUAUAUUCGUGUACUAUCGUGUACUAGAAGUCAGUUCCCGUUUUAUCAUUAUUGGAAUCGAUUGGAAUGGCUCUUAGCUGAAGCCUCUCUCUUCUCUGAAGCUUAUUCUGAAGACUGAACAACAAGGGAAGAGGUAUAAAGCUUUGUCAAGCUUGUUAAGGUCAGAUAUUUUUGUGUGGGCCCUAUGGCCGGCUAGGCUAUGCUAUCAAGUCUUGUUCAUGUUUGGCAAGAAUGUAGGUAGACUAUAGUUUCAUCAUUAAUAUGGUGGAUCAAGUGAAGAGUGUGAGCUAGAGAACUUGGUGCUGCCAUCAUCAGCUCGUCGACAAUGACACUAUAACCGAGAAAUUUAAUAUGUAUAGAUCUACACGUAUUUAAAAUGUCUACUUCUCUGUACAGGAGCAAUGGCUAAUAUCCAGCUAUCCCAACAGUGCUCCUCUUGGCUAUACUAACGGACGAGACUGGACAGUUUGAGACACAGGACUGGAGUAUGACCUGCUCAUUCGAGCGUUGCUGGGUAGCUCAGAGACAUCAAGAGAAUCUACGUUUUCUCAAGUAAUGAGUUACGAGUUGGGGCCUAGAAUCAGAGAAGUCCAGCAGCCUGCUAAAUCUUUUUGAAACGUAAUUUGAAGGCAUUCAAUCAUCCUGAAGUUGCCCUGGGUCACUGUAAUUGUGCUGCAGCACAACUGGCAACUCCCCAGGCCUUUGUGAAGCAGCUCCCUAUGUGCAUCUUUUGUGUACUCACUCUGUGCAUUUUCUGUGUACAAAUUUCUAUUAUUGAUUUAUUAAAUAUUUUUGCCGACCACAAAUAUACAAUGAAAAUUUGACGCAUGCGCAGACAACUAGUACCAGGCCCAGUUGUUCGCCUAACCGUUAUAAAAGCGAAAACUCGGCCUGGGAUCGAGGCUACCGGUGGUGCUGAAGAGCAAAGGCUUGUGACGAAACAGUGAUUCAUCUAUCUGGACUACUACACCACUUCCACCGAGAAUGAUGCUGGUAUUUACCAGCUUCAUGCUGCAUACCUCCCGCAACCACUGAAACACAUUAAUGGCCGUUUCCUUGUUCACCUCCACCAUCUGAGCCACUGUACACACCGGAAGUUGGUAGGCCCAGAGGUGAAUCAGGAGGAUCCAAGUCCGAAGGGGAAUCUUUGAUUUCUCAAAGAAACUGCCCGCCCUUACAGUUUUGCUCGUCUUACACACCUUGCACCACCACUUAUACCCAUCCUUCACAUCUCUCCUCAAUCUCUCUUCCAUGUCAUCACCACAACUAUAAUGAUUUGUGUUAAAUAAUGUUUUCUAGAGUUAUACUGUCUUACCGAACACAAUCCAUGUCAUCUGCGAGCAAACCAAGACUUCUUAGAUACACUAAUAUUUGACUUGGUGAGCCAAAAGCUGCUGUACCAACAUUAAUGAGAGACAUACUAAAAUGUUACCAUGAAUUUAUCAGUGCAGUGGUGCGAAAUUUACAUGUGGCCGGGCAAUGCCCGCGAAAUAAAUGGGCGUUUGUAAUCGGCGCGAAAGAUGCGUACAGGAAGUGGGCGUGUCAUCAUGUGCCUUUUGACCACGCCCCCUUUCGUCUCGGCCAUGGAGCCGUGUAUCCGUCAUGAUCCAACCUGGCUCCAUUGCUAAAGUAUUACAGCAUUCUCCGGCUGGAAAGAUGUUUGAGGCUGAGAAUGCUGCCCUGUCAGUAAUGAACCCGACGUAUUCAAGUAAGAAAUGUGGUUACCGUAAGACCUUUAAUUAAAGCGGCACUUUUUAAAACUUAUUGAAGCCAGAGAUCGCUUCUUUUGGAGGUUGAAAAUCAUGUUGAAGACCUGGUGUCCAUUUAGACUCGCUGGCCACUCCCAUCAUCACUAUCUUGAGGAUUGGGACUGGUCAACUGCCAAUCUGCGAGUUGUUCUCAUUACCGAAAUCGGUAAUGACCAAUCACAGUGCAGAAGCAAUGUCAUGUGACAUAUUUCGCCCACGUAAUUCGUUGUAGUUGGGGUGGGUCUUAUGUUGUGUUAGAUAAACCACGGGACAUAACCCACAUUCACUUGAUAGUUACGCAACUUUGGUCAACCGCACAAACCACAAGAUGAUGUCAUGCAACUAAUUAAAAUUCCACAAGAACAACUCGCAGAUUGGCAGUUGACCAGUCCCAAUCCUCAAGAUAGUGAUGAUGGGAGUGGCCAGCGAGUCUAGUGUCCAUUAUUUAGAGGGUCUCAUCUAAUUGGAGGUACAUGUAACUCUAUCUGAUAGCCUCGUGGAAUCAGCUAUACUAUAGUACUCUACGUUGCUAAGCACCACUCUAAAUAAUAUUAUAAGUGCCAAACUGGAAUUAUGGUUUUUUCUUGUUCUAUUUGUGCGCCACUGAAAAUCUUUAACGGCGCUGUAAUUAGAAGAAAGACGGUAUAUUGUGAGACACCAACUGCCCAGAGGGAAACCACGCCAUUCGCAAAAAUAUGCCUAAUUCCCUCUCACAUCUAAAGUUCUUUCAAAAUGGUGGUCGUACUUUUUUGAAGGAUGAUGUUGAAAGUGACAUGUGUUGGAGAGAGCAUUAUACUGGACACCCUUGUAUGACCAGACGACUGUAAAGUAUCGACACAAUUGGAGAUCUUUAAUAUGGGCUGUCAAUGAGAAACAACAGACGCACUCUAUGAGAAGCUGGCCGAGCCCAUUAUAGAAGGGGUCACAGAGGGUACCAAUGAAACAGCCUAAACAGUAUCUAAGCUAACUCCUUGUCCACGCCUACUAAAUCAACAUCCGAUGCUGUACAUGGCACUUGAUCCGAACAUUGAAUGGUGAUCUACAACUUUGGGUGGGGAGUCUUAUCCAAUGCAGUAGACGGAGCAUGUUCCGUGAGUAAUCAUUCCCUAGAAGUGAGUGUCUACUGUAUGUAUGUGAUCUACAACUUUGGGUGGGGAGUCUUAUCCAAUGCAGUAGACAGGGCAUGUUCCGGAAAGCUCAGAAUUCUGGAGAAUUAGACAAACAGCUGUGAUAAGUCAGCGCUACCAAAGCAGCUGUCCAGACGGAGGACCAUGUGUCCGAGUCUUCUCUCACAUGACACUGCGUCCCACCAGCCCUGGUCUGAGGCCCCUCCCCCCACAACCUCCUUUCUCACUUUAGCCCCACUCAAAUCCUCGACCACGUCCGUAUUUUUUGCUCUAAGAUCAUGUGACGAGUCCUAAGUACACCAGGUUUAUGAAGUUCCUGCAUGAUCAGGAGGUGAGAGGGAAUGUUUAGCUGUUGCUUUAUGUAGCUAUUUGUGUACAUGCAUGUGUUUAGUUUCCUGUCAUAAACACUGUUUGUACAUGUACGUGUUCUAUGUAAAAGUACUUAGUGUGAUUCUGGCGCCUUUGUAAAACUUAAUUAUUGUAGUCUUUGAGUAGACUAAUAGUGGCUGUAUUAUAGAGGAUGACCUGCGUGACCACAAUAGACUGCACGGUUUCACUGCAUUACUAGUGUUUAAGCUUCCAUAUACUUCCCCUUUAUUAUGCAGCCCCAUGUUGACUACCUCCCUGGUCAAGUGUUUGAGGGUGGUGGCUGACACCUGUCACGCAUCAGUGCUAGAGACGGCGUUCCCAGGGCAACAGCUGGAUAUCGCCCUACUCUGGCAUUGUCUCGUAGAUCACCAUGCCAACAAAGACAAGAUUCCUCUCGACACGUACGUGGUGCAUGUGUGUGUGUACCUUGGUAUGUUCAGUGUGCAUUUGAGGCAUACUUGUCAGUUAUACAUGUAAGUACAUGUGUGUGCAUAUUUUGAGCUUUGUCUUAAUUUUCACCGUGUACACAAUCAAUGAUAGUGUGGUUGUGUAUAAUUAUGGUGUACAGUGCUUACAGGUCAUGUACACGUAUUUAUAGAGUACUGCACCGUUAACUCCUCCCUCCCCUUGUGCAGUGAUUGGGUGAGUCUGGAGGCUGUCGGGCUCUCACUGGGUAUGGUUUCGAAAGAAUUCCUCUCUAAAACAGUCAACUCCUCUUCACCAAUCUCCUGGAACUGGCCAAAGCUCUCUGCACUAGCCCUGCUAACACACUCGCUUUCUACCAACUCGUAUUUCUCCUGACACUGGAAUUCUUUUAUCAAGGGCUCUCAGAUAUACUGGUCUUUCCUACACCAGCUGCAAGAGCUUGCUGUGAAGGAGAAAGGCCUUGAAGCACAUCACAGAGUGGUGCUACAUGCUACAGUGGCGGGUGUGCUGCAUCUAGCGUCCAAGAUUAGUCGAAAUGAGGUACUCAAGAUGACGCACAUCGAUGGAGUGAUUGCUAAGAGGAGGGAGACAGCUCCUAAGGCUAUGGUUGGACAUUCUUCUAGAGGGGGGGGAAUUUUGGGAAAUCCGAGGGCUCCCACCCAUCUUCAUGAAACCCUGAUUGUAACCACAGCCACUUGAGAUACAAUGUGCUAGCCCCUUGUAAAGGUACUUGAUAAUUCAUUGCAAACAUCCUAAUUUAAGAUUUCACGACAGCCAGGGUUUAUACCUUUAUGUAUAGUGAUGUAAUAAGUAAUAAGAGGUGUGGUCAACAUUUUUCGGUGCACGUACACCUUCCCCCCCCCCAAGUUUUUAUCCUAUGAAACCCUGACAGCAUGUGACGAAGGUUGAACAGGCGGCCUACUACGGUUUUAAGUAUGUGGAGUUGCAUACUCUUCCUAAUGAAGUUGUUGCUAGUACAGUGGUUUUCCUUUGCAAGAGCACUGCAACCACAAUGUAGUGAUUACCUCUGUCUGUGUGUUAUUUUAAUCCACCCACAUGCACCACCCACACAUCACAAAAUCACAGUAAAGUGAUGCAUCUUACAGACUAUCUAUACUGCAGACUUUCACACAACUUAAAGAAUGUACUCUACUUGCACAGCAUUAUCAUUCCUCCUACUCAUUUAUACUUGAUGCUCGAGGUCAACAAGCUGCUUCUGGGAAAAUCAAAUUUUGAGCAACACAAGUUCCUUUCGGAUUUGAUUCACUACAUAUGCAGCGGUAGUUAGACCCGGAUAAAAUGCAUAGAUAGUAAAGAUAGUAAAUACAGGCCCUCAGCUCCCUAUACAUACAAGUUUGAGUUCAUAUCAUUUUGCCACAAUGAAUCAAGCAACAAGUUAGCUGAGCUACGUACCAUCGCAAUCACUUCAGUUAAACAAAGUAUGAGGAGAGUUGACGUACUGUACAGCUGGAAAUUUGGUAAUUAUUUGGCGAAUGCAAUACAAUACUAUAUACAGUGACGUUGUGUCCACCAGAACAUUUUAAUUUGGGAAUUUUUCAGUAAAUCGCCCAAUUAAAACACCCAUCAAAUUUCCUUAUUAUAAGGGGUUUACAUUUUACAGGCAAUUCCAAGUUAUGAUUUAGAUUGCUUUGUUGCCUUGUUAAUACCAGGAGCCCAUAAAUAAGAGAAGGAGCGGCUAACUUCAACGUAUACUCUGGGAUCACGUGUCGUAAUUGCCGGUGGCCUACAUUAUGCACUGCAUCUAUGUACAUUAAAUUAGUACAGGACUAGAUAAUUAUUUGUUGGUAAAAAAUAAUGAAUGAAAUGAAAUUAUGAAUUCUGAUUCGCCCAGGUUCAGGUUCAGACAUGUUGUGUUUGAGAUCACAUCAGGCAGAUAGAGAAGGUGGAGCUGGUCCUCCAGGUGAGGGUGUUUGUACAGGUAGAAUUAAUUUGGUAGGUACGUAAAGUGUUCGAGAAGUUUACUGCCUUGUGUCAGGUAUAGUGUUGGUAUGCUUGUACGGUGUAUGUAAGUACAUGUAUUCAUUUGUCUUACAAAUACAUGCAUUCUUUGUCUUAUACACCAGUUGAAGUGUUUCACUGUCCUCUCUUCUCCCCACACAGGACCUCCUUCAGCUGCAAUACGAGGGCCUGGCAAUCAUGAAGAUGUUUGGGAGGGCCAAAGUGAACGUUAAUCUGCUUAUCUUCCUCAUUAACAAAAUCGACAGAGCGUUAAAUUGGAUUCCCAUUAGCAAAUUGUGUUCAUUGACAGUUUUAUACGUACAGCUCUCUGUGACACACUGUAGGGAGAAUUGAAUUUAAACCAUCAUUAUUACUGUGCUAUAUUGACCAAUUCCAACUGAUUUGUUUUUUAGUUAUGUAAUGUGCUGACAUCCUUCUAGUCUUCUGUGCACUGAAGCAAAUAAUUGUUCUAGAAUAAAA